UACAACGCACUACCUGUUCAUAGUAGUCGUUGCUGUCAACAGCACACUGCUCACCAUCAACGCAGGGGACUUCAUCUUCUACACAGACUGGGCGUGGACGUCCUUCGUGGUGUUCUCGGUGUCCCCGUUGACGUUACUUACUGUAGGCCAAAUCAGUUUAUUUUUAUCCACAGAGUUUCAAUCAUCCGCACCCUAUUACGCAACUAUCAUAACCUGCUACACAUUGGUUCCAACGUGCCAAUGGUUUGAACUUGUCUCACCCUCAGAAUUGGGCGACAGCACGCAACAAGCACGCUGACAUAGUGUUUGGCGGUACGCUGGUUGGCCUAACCUUCCCGCUGUUCAACAUGGUCAACCUGUUGCUUAUAAGGGACCCGCUCGAGGUUGCCUUCAAGUAUCCGAGACCGACUCUGCCCGCGUACAUGACGCCUAUAGAGCCUCAGGUAGGGAAGUUCUACAACUCGCCUGUCGCCCUGGGUUCAGGUGCCGGGGAAGUGCCAUCGGUACCCAUCGCUGCGUUGGGUGAAAAACUAAACACGUGG
Molecule: ribosomal RNA, 542 nt
Filed under: uncultured Nitrososphaerota archaeon
Lineage: Archaea; Thermoproteati; Nitrososphaerota
Description: uncultured thaumarchaeote partial 16S ribosomal RNA
Source: RNAcentral